This 32-nucleotide non-coding RNA is filed under the name Syntrophotalea carbinolica DSM 2380. The record is from RNAcentral. Lineage: Bacteria; Pseudomonadati; Thermodesulfobacteriota; Desulfuromonadia; Desulfuromonadales; Syntrophotaleaceae.
UCGGCAGCGGCACCGGAAACGAUGUGCUGUAA